GGAUGAUGUAGUGGGUUUCGCUUUGUGAGAAACAGAGGGCCAAGACAGACGCUCACCACCUCCUCUGAAGCUAUAAACCUCAGCAUCKUAUCCAUCACAUGACAUCGGGACCUUAAUAGACUAUAGACACCACAGACUGUAAUGGACAUCCUCAGAUUCCUCACAGGGUGCACACUUGUCUCGCUUGGUCACUGUUGGAUGGUGAAGGUGCCCAAUACUGUGAAGGCAGUAGAUGGUAGUUGUGUAGAAGUGUCCUGUCACACCGCCCCCCARCACAGGGUCAUCUGGUACCGGUAUCAUAGCGUUCUCUAUCCCAAGGUUUAUGAUGGCAAGGAACCGACCAGUGUGGAGACCAGUUUUAGAGGGCGUACAUCAGUGCCAGGCAAUGCAUCAGAGGGUGACUGUACACUGAGGGUUGAGAGUGUGACAUGGACAGACAAUAAKCUCCAGCUCUACGUGUGGAUCAACCCUGAUGAGUCAGCUACACAACAUUUCCAUCAUCAGAUCGUAAGGAUUACAA
This is a non-coding RNA of Salvelinus sp. IW2-2015, 520 nucleotides long. The record is from RefSeq and is a predicted model, not a curated record. Lineage: Eukaryota; Metazoa; Chordata; Actinopteri; Salmoniformes; Salmonidae.